RNA transcript from Zea mays, 1639 nucleotides. It is a transcript of the gene named Nucleobase-ascorbate transporter pseudogene, with no coding region annotated. The record is from RefSeq and is marked validated. Lineage: Eukaryota; Viridiplantae; Streptophyta; Magnoliopsida; Poales; Poaceae. The transcript has 5 exons.
UUUUUCCAAUUGCAGCACUACUAAUAUUUUAUGGCAUGCAACAUUACCUGUCAAUAGCUGGUUCACUUGUCUUUGUUCCUUUGAUACUCGUACCUGCAAUGGGUGGUUCUGAUGUAUGAAGCUUUCCUUCUUUUCUUAAUUGCACUUAUUUACACUGAAAACCACCUUCAAAUGAUGAAUUCAUUUAAUGUGGCAGGAGGAUACCACAACAGUCAUCUCCACCAUGUUAUUAGUCUCUGGUCUUACUACAAUACUACAUACUUUUUUGGGUUCUCGACUUCCACUGAUUCAAGGAAGCUCCUUUGUAUAUUUGGCUCCAGCGUUGGUAAUUGCGAACUCCGAGGAGUUCAGAAAUCUUAGUGACAAUAAAUUCAAGCACAUAAUGAGGGAACUACAAGGGGCUAUACUUGUUGGUUCAGUAUUCCAGAUAAUAUUAGGAUACACUGGUCUUAUUUCACUGUUUCUGAGGUAUGUCCAGAAACACAAAUGCAGAACUCUACAAUCUAGAAUACACCUCACAGAAACUGAAUAUGUUCAAUCCCUGACUUCACAGGUUAAUAAAUCCAGUGGUGGUGGCACCAACUAUUGCUGCAGUGGGUUUGGCAUUUUUAGUUAUGGUUUCCCUCAGGCUUGCAGCUGUGUAGAAAUCAGCAUGCCCCUCAUUCUGUUGGUUCUUCUGUGCACUCUGUACAUGAGAAAAAUAUCCUUGUUUGGCAACCAUAUCUUCCUUGUCUAUGCGGUACUUCUCUAAUCCUCUCCCUUUACACCCUUAGUGCGGGUAGCUGAUUGUGUGCUGACUACACUGGGAGCUUGCUGACUACACUGGGAUGUGGUACUUCUCUAAUCCUCUCCCUUUACACGUGGAGUUGUCAGCAGAGCGAUUGGGCUUGAAGGGGUUUCAACGUUUAUUGCUGGAGUGUGGGGUACAGGUACAGGAUCGACAACGUUAACAGAGAACAUACACACCCUCGAAACAACCAAAAUGGGCAGCAGGAGGGCUUUGCAGCUUGGGGCAGCCGUGUUAGUCAUCUUCUCCUUCUUUGGUAAAAUCGGAGCUCUCCUAGCAUCUAUACCUCUUGCCUUGGCCGCCUCUGUUCUGUGCUUCACCUGGGCGCUAAUUGUCGCGCUUGGUAUGUCCAUAUUGCGAUACACCCAAGCAGCAAGCUCCAGGAACAUGAUAAUAGUUGGAUUUACCCUGUUCAUCUCCUUGUCGAUACCCGCAUACUUUCAGCAGUAUGAACCCAGCUCCAACCUAAUCUUGCCCAGCUAUCUUCUUUCAUAUGCUGCAGCGUCAAGUGGACCAGUUCGCACAGCCAGCAGCGGGCUGAACUAUGCAGUGAACGCGCUCCUAUCCAUCGACGUUGUGGUGGCUCUCCUUGUCGCGUUGAUCCUUGACAACACAGUGCCAGGCAGUAGACAUUUGGACAGAUCCCAAAUCCCUCGAGGUGGAUCCUGCGACAUUGGAACCCUACCGAUUGCCGGAGAAAGUUUCAUGCUGGUUCAGGUGGGCAAAGUGUGUCAAGGUUUUGCUCUUUCUCACACAACAUUGAAUUAUCUCAAACUCAUAGCAGGGUACUUUAUUCGCCACUUUAUUCACCUCAUAACCAUUAGUGUUCAUCCAAAAAAUAAAAAAAAUAGG